Molecule: ribosomal RNA, 425 nt
Filed under: uncultured bacterium
Lineage: Bacteria
Description: bacterial SSU rRNA
Rfam family: Bacterial small subunit ribosomal RNA
Source: RNAcentral
GGAAUCUUCCACAAUGGGCGCAAGCCUGAUGGAGCAACACCGCGUGAGUGAAGAAGGGUUUCGGCUCGUAAAGCUCUGUUGUAAGAGAAGAACGUGUGUGAGAGUGGAAAGUUCACACAGUGACGGUAACUUACCAGAAAGGGACGGCUAACUACGUGCCAGCAGCCGCGGUAAUACGUAGGUGGCAAGCGUUAUCCGGAUUUAUUGGGCGUAAAGCGAGCGCAGGCGGUCUUUUAAGUCUAAUGUGAAAGCCUUCGGCUUAACCGAAGAAGUGCAUUGGAAACUGGAAGACUUGAGUGCAGAAGAGGACAGUGGAACUCCAUGUGUAGCGGUGAAAUGCGUAGAUAUAUGGAAGAACACCAGUGGCGAAGGCGGCUGUCUGGUCUGUAACUGACGCUGAGGCUCGAAAGCAUGGGUAGCGAACA